UACAGAGGGUGCGAGCGUUGUCCGGAAUCACUGGGCGUAAAGGGCGCGUAGGUGGUUGGGGAAGCGUGUGGUGAAAGCCCGGGGCUCAACCCCGGGUCGGCCAUGCGAACUGCCCGACUGGAGCAUGGUAGAGGCCAAUGGAAUUCCGGGUGUAGCGGUGAAAUGCGCAGAUAUCAGGAGGAACACCGAUGGCGAAGGCAGGUCUCUGGGCCACUACUGACGCUGAGAAGCGAAAGCAUGGGGAGCGAACAGG
This 253-nucleotide ribosomal RNA is filed under the name uncultured bacterium. RNAcentral describes it as "partial 16S ribosomal RNA". It matches the Rfam family "Bacterial small subunit ribosomal RNA", at positions 524 to 776 of the family's 1533-position model. The record is from RNAcentral.